This 352-nucleotide RNase P RNA is filed under the name Holosporaceae bacterium. RNAcentral's name for it is "RNase P RNA component class A". It matches the Rfam family "Bacterial RNase P class A". From Rfam's summary of the family: Ribonuclease P (RNase P) is a ubiquitous endoribonuclease, found in archaea, bacteria and eukarya as well as chloroplasts and mitochondria. Its best characterised activity is the generation of mature 5'-ends of tRNAs by cleaving the 5'-leader elements of precursor-tRNAs. Lineage: Bacteria; Pseudomonadati; Pseudomonadota; Alphaproteobacteria; Holosporales; Holosporaceae. The record is from RNAcentral.
UCAGAUGGUUGGAGCAUCGCUUCUUUAUUUUUUUAAAGAAGAGGAAAGUCCGGGCUCUUUGAAGGAAGGAUGCUGGUUAACGGCCAGCGAGGGAAACCUUAGGGAAAGUGCCACAGAAAAUAUACCGCCGAAAGGUAAGGGUGAAAUGGUGUGGUAAGAGCGCACCGCGUUCUUGGUGACAAGGACGGCAGGGCAAACCCCAUCCGGAGCAAGACCAAGUAGGAAUGACACGAGGCUAUCCUUCAGGCCGUCAUUCGGGUGGGUCGCACGAGCUGGUCAGCAAUGCACAGCCUAGAUGAAUGAUGUUCGCCCUUUAAGGGAACAGAACCCGGCUUAUAGACCAUCUGAUAUU